GACGAACGCUGGCGGCAUGCCUAAUACAUGCAAGUCGAGCGAACAGAUGAAGUGCUUGCACUUCUGACGUUAGCGGCGAACGGGUGAGUAACACGUAAGGAAUCUACCUAUAAGCGGGGGAUAACAUUCGGAAACGGGUGCUAAUACCGCAUAAUAUCUUCUUCCGCAUGGAAGAAGAUUGAAAGACGGCUCUGCUGUCACUUAUAGAUGACCUUGCGGUGCAUUAGUUAGUUGGUGGGGUAACGGCCUACCAAGACGAUGAUGCAUAGCCGACCUGAGAGGGUGAUCGGCCACAUUGGGACGGGGACACGGCCCAAACUCCUACGGGAGGCAGCAGUAGGGAAUCGUCCGCAAUGGGCGAAAGCCUGACGGAGCAAUGCCGCGUGAGUGAAGAAGGCCUUCGGGUCGUAAAACUCUGUUAUAAGAGAAGAACAAAUUGUAGAGUAACUGCUACAGUCUUGACGGUAUCUUAUCAGAAAGCCACGGCUAACUACGUGCCAGCCGCCGCCGUAA
RNAcentral lists this ribosomal RNA (513 nucleotides) under uncultured bacterium. RNAcentral describes it as "partial 16S ribosomal RNA". It matches the Rfam family "Bacterial small subunit ribosomal RNA", at positions 28 to 523 of the family's 1533-position model. The record is from RNAcentral.